CAUGAAUAUUUACUGAGGUAUUGUUAAUAAAUUAUUCAUGAACAAGUGAGCUUAUAAGUUUAUCCAAAGCUCGACUUGUUUUAUGUGUGAUUUCAGUCUCUCAGAGAGCUUGGGGUCAACUCGUGUGAUGAAUAAAUAGGCUGAACUUAAGCCCUUGCUCUUUUGACGAACAAAACUCACUUACAACUCUAUACAUUCAUGCAAGACGUUGUUUCCAUUUGAGACAUUGCGCUAAUGACUGGUGGUUAUGGUGACACUUGCAUUUUUGCUCUUAAGUUUUGUACUCUUCUCUGGCCUCUUAGGAAUAUACAGUUUUUUGGCCUUGAAGCCCAACAGAAAGUGACUGCAUCAUAUGUUGUGGUAAUUGGUCUUGGAGGAGUUGGAAGU
Molecule: unclassified non-coding RNA, 387 nt
Filed under: Hevea brasiliensis (rubber tree)
Lineage: Eukaryota; Viridiplantae; Streptophyta; Magnoliopsida; Malpighiales; Euphorbiaceae
Source: RNAcentral